This is a long non-coding RNA of Xenopus tropicalis (tropical clawed frog), 1090 nucleotides long. RefSeq lists it as uncharacterized. The transcript has 3 exons. NCBI's taxonomy places the organism in Eukaryota, Metazoa, Chordata, Amphibia, Anura, Pipidae. The record is from RefSeq and is a predicted model, not a curated record.
CAAAGGAAUAAAUCUCACACAGCACCAACACAAGGGCAUUUGCCUAAAAUGGACGCCGAAGUAGAAGUGCGCCAUCCUGCCUGGCCUGAAGCCAAGAGCAGCCGCCAUGUUCCCCGCACCCCAUUAACAACACGUAACACUCAGUUACACACAGUAUAUACACACGGACAGUGUAUACACACACAUCCAACGUGAAAACAACAUGUAUUCCUACACCGCAAACAAGAGACGAAAUAGUGCCGCGCACGGAAAUAAAACCCCUGAAACGAUGCGAAUAAACAAGCUCCGUCAGUGCGGAGGCCGCGUCUGUCUUAUUCGGUCCUCCGGCGGCAUAAAAUAGAUUUUCUAAAAAAAAAAAUCCCAGUAACGUAUCAAUAAAAUGACAGGUUAAUCAAAUCCGAAUAGUAAAAAAUAAACAAAACAAAAAAAAAUAAAUUUCCUCCAUUAUCGGCCUCGCCGCGUCUUCCAGUGCGGAAUAAUAUCCACAGGAAAACCCGUAACUCGGCGGCGGCGGUAGAAGAAACUCCGAGGUAAAAAGGUGCCGACUGUAGUGAAUUGUAUUGAGGCAGCGGCGCUCGGAGCCCGGCGGAAGGAUCGCAAGCCAGCGGAGCCCAGAGAGCUUGGGGCCGGACAUGCCUGGCGGCAGCCUCCUUCCCUCAGCGCCGCGGCCGACCAGAAGAGCUUAAAGCGGAAACUGCAAAUCACAUAAUGUGCCGGUAGCGUUGGGACUGUACGGAAUGUAAGUGCAAACAGAGAGGCGCUGAAGGGGAUCCCAAGGAGCCCAGUACCUCUCACUGCGACAGUGAUGAAGAUAUAGAAGCAACAGGAAGCCACCAGAACCCAUAAAGGCUCUACAAGCAAGAACUUGUUGCUGCCUCAAAAAAGACUUGUUGUUCUUCAAUACGAGAAAGAUGUCAGAUGAAAGAGUUAAAAAUCCAUUGUGCUAAAUCUGAUCGAGUUAUUAUGAAAUGUUAUUACUUAUCUUUAUUCCACACACUAUAAAGAGAUCAUUGUGGUCAUUUCUAAAUAAAGUCAUAUUGGCAUUUUACUGUCAAUAGAUUCACCACCUAAUUCAUUCUGCAGAAAGCUU